ACCCUAUGGACGGGAAUAACCUCGGGAAACUGAGAAUAAUGCCCGAUAGAACAUUAUGCCUGGAAUGGUUUAUGUUUCAAAUGAUUUAUCGCCAUAGGAUGGGACUGUGGCCUAUCAGUUUGUUGGUGAGGUAAUGGCCCACCAAGACUAUUACAGGUACGGGCUCUGAGAGGAGUAGCCCGGAGAUGGGUACUGAGACACGGACCCAGGCCCUAUGGGGCGCAGCAGGCGAGAAAACUUUGCAAUGUGCGAAAGCACGACAAGGUUAAUCCGAGUGGUUUCUGCUAAAGAAACCUUUUGUCAGUCCUAGAAACACUAACGAAUAAGGGGUGGGCAAGUUCUGGUGUCAGCCGCCGCGGUAAAACCAGCACCUCAAGUGGUCAGGAUGAUUAUUGGGCCUAAAGCAUCCGUAGCUCGUUUUGUAAGUUUUCGGUUAAAUCCAUGCGCUUAACGUAUGGGCUGCCGGGAAUACUGCAUAACUAGGAAGUGGGAGAGGUAGACGGUACUCGGGAGGAAGGGGUAAAAUCCUUUGAUCUCUUGAUGACCACCUGUGGCGAAGGCGGUCUACCAGAACACGUUCGACGGUGAGGGAUGAAAGCUGGGGGAGCAAACCGGAUUAGAUACCCGGGUAGUCCCAGCUGUAAACUAUGCAAACUCAGUGAUGCAUUGGCUUAUGGCCAAUGCAGUGCUGCAGGGAAGCCGUUAAGUUUGCCGCCUGGGAAGUACGUACGCAAGUAUGAAACUUAAAGGAAUUGGCGGGGGAGCACCACAAGGGGUGAAGCCUGCGGUUCAAU
Molecule: ribosomal RNA, 794 nt
Filed under: uncultured archaeon
Lineage: Archaea
Description: bacterial SSU rRNA
Rfam family: Archaeal small subunit ribosomal RNA
Source: RNAcentral